GAUGAACGCUGGCGGCGUGCCUAACACAUGCAAGUCGAACGAAGCACCUUACCUGAUUCUUCGGAUGAAAGUUUGGUGACUGAGUGGCGGACAGGUGAGUAACGCGUGGGUAACCUGCCCUGUACAGGGGGAUAACAGCUGGAAACGGCUGCUAAUACCGCAUAAGCGCACGAGGAGACAUCUCCUUGUGUGAAAAACUCCGGUGGUACAGGAUGGGCCCGCGUCUGAUUAGCUGGUUGGCAGGGUAACGGCCUACCAAGGCAACGAUCAGUAGCCGGUCUGAGAGGAUGAACGGCCACAUUGGAACUGAGGCACGGUCCAAACUCCUACGGGAGGCAGCAGUGGGGAAUAUUGCACAAUGGGGGAAACCCUGAUGCAGCAACGCCGCGUGAGUGAAGAAGUAUUUCGGUAUGUAAAGCUCUAUCAGCAGGGAAGAUAAUGACGGUACCUGACUAAGAAGCUCCGGCUAAAUACGUG
Molecule: ribosomal RNA, 477 nt
Filed under: uncultured bacterium
Lineage: Bacteria
Description: partial 16S ribosomal RNA
Rfam family: Bacterial small subunit ribosomal RNA
Source: RNAcentral